UUCCAUAUUAUAGUAUUAAUGUAUGGACUUUUUCAUAUUGGCCCUGUAACAUGCCCAAGGUGUUAAUAAUGGCCAAGGAUGGUUGUAAUGGCCCUGAGGCAACGCCGAGGGCCAUUACAACUGUCCGAGGCCAUUAUUAAUAUCAAGGGCAUGUUACAGGGCCAAUAUGAAAAAGUCCAUAUAUUGAUACUUUUAUUAACCAACUAUAAAGGCAACUUCAUUCAAGAACAGUCUUCGAGUCUCGGAUCCAAAAUUAUACAGCUAUCAACAAACUACAACAGGACCAAUACAGAAAAGCCCGUUUCAUAAAAUUUUGAUUAAAUGGUUUUAUUCUUCGAUUAAACAAAGAGUAAAAAACUUACCGUGAAGAAGAUACAGGAAUUUCAUAGCUGAACUUCAACUUGUCUUUUCGCAUUCAAUUUCGCAUGGAAUUUUAGUCAACAUUGUGACUGUCAGAUGUAAUUUCUGAUUUCUCAUCCAAGUACUUAAUUUUAUGCUAUUAAAAUUCAUUUCAUCUAGCAAAUAAAAAGUAGCUGGGAAGAAUUAAUCAGACAGUAAAGUCUGCAUUCUGAGGAUUGAACAACGGAAAUGAAACAGUGAUAAUAAUCGAAAAUCGUUCUCGAAAAAGGCUGUGAAAUAUUUCCGUUUCAAGUCGUUACAAAACAAUGUUAAUGAACAUCAUUUAUUAAACUUAUUUUUAUGAUAUUAAGUUUAAAAAAGAAUAAAAAAAAUGUCACACUUAUUUACAGAAAUAAACGACAUUUUGUUUUAAUCGAUGUCCCGUUUCAACUGUUCAUAAUGCAUGACUGUGAUUUCGUAAUGCACGGGUGUGGUUUCGUAAUGCAUGACUGAGAUUUCGUAAUGCAUGACUGAGAUCUCGUAAUGACUGGCUGUAGCAAUUUCUCCGUUCAUAAUGACCAGAUGUCGAAAUGUUCCUUUUAUAAAGCAUGGGCAUUUCUAUACAUAUUGUAGUAAGUUGGUUAAUAAUAGAUUAUAAUUUAAU
RNAcentral lists this long non-coding RNA (1003 nucleotides) under Mytilus galloprovincialis (Mediterranean mussel). Lineage: Eukaryota; Metazoa; Mollusca; Bivalvia; Mytilida; Mytilidae. The record is from RNAcentral.